GGACCAUCAUGUCGGUCGUGCCUCGGUACGUACUGGCAUUGUUGGUUUCUCUCUUCUGACGAACCAUGAUGUCAUUUAUUUGGUGUUGUGGGGAAUCAGGACUGUUACUUUGAAAAAAUUAGAGUGUUUAAAGCAGGCUCACGCUUGAAUACAUUAGCAUGGAAUAAUGAAAUAGGACGUUUGAUUCUAUUUUGUUGGUUUCUAGGUAUAGAGUA
Molecule: ribosomal RNA, 215 nt
Filed under: Campeiostachys nutans
Lineage: Eukaryota; Viridiplantae; Streptophyta; Magnoliopsida; Poales; Poaceae
Description: Elymus nutans partial small subunit ribosomal RNA
Rfam family: Eukaryotic small subunit ribosomal RNA (bases 46-215)
Source: RNAcentral